This 450-nucleotide ribosomal RNA is filed under the name uncultured bacterium. Its description in RNAcentral is "partial 16S ribosomal RNA". It matches the Rfam family "Bacterial small subunit ribosomal RNA", at positions 338 to 795 of the family's 1533-position model. The record is from RNAcentral.
CCUACGGGGGGCAGCAGUGGGGAAUAUUGGACAAUGGGGGAAACCCUGAUCCAGCAAUGCCGCGUGUGUGAAGAAGGCCUGCGGGUUGUAAAGCACUUUCGGUUGGGAAGAAAAGUUUGGCGCCAAUACCGCCGAACCUUGACGUUACUGACAGAAGAAGCACCGGCUAACUCUGUGCCAGCAGCCGCGGUAAUACAGAGGGUGCAAGCGUUAAUCGGAGUCACUGGGGGUAAUCCUUGCGGUCGUGGGCGAAAUCCCCGGGCUUAACCUGGGAACUGCAUUCGAUACGACAUGGCUAGAGUAUGGUAGAGGGAAGUGGAAGUUCCGGUGUAGCGGUGAAAUGCGUAGAUAUCGGAAGGAACACCAAUGGCGAAGGCAGCUUCCUGGACUAAUACUGACACUGAGGCACGAAAGCGUGGGUAGCAAACAGGAUUAGAUACCCCAGUAGUC